CAACAAGAGUGAACUGCUUCUCAAAUACAACCCUGUUCACAAGAAGGUUCCGGUGUUUGUUCACAAUGAGAAGCCCAUAGCAGAGUCUCUUGUGAUUGUUGAAUACAUUGAUGAGACAUGGAAGAACAACCCCAUCUUGCCUUCUGAUCCUUACCAAAGAGCCUUGGCUCGUUUCUGGUCCAAAUUCAUUGAUGACAAGGUGUAUAACUCUUCUUUUCUUUGUUUGUGCUAAUUUAUCACUAAAACAUCAUCUUUCAUGACAUCUAAAUAUGAGAUGUUGUUAUAUGUUAGAGAACUCAAUAGUUAACUGCCAAUUAUCAUGAAUUUCUUUAAUAUUUUUCAUUCACUAUUAAUUGUAUACCAAUUUUGUCUAAAAUUAUAUUAAUGAUUCAUUUAACAACUACCUCCAUUUAUUUUUGGGACGUUUAUUUCAUGCAAUUUUUUUUUCAUUUCUGAGAAUAUCAUUCAUGACUAUUUUUUAAAAAUAUGUUUGAUCACGUUUUUAAUAUUUCUAAAAAUAACUUUAAAAUUCAAAAUAAUUUAAAUAAAAAUAGAUAAAAAAAAGAAUUGAAUGGUAUUUUAGGAAAUAAACGUGUGGAAAACUAUGAUAAAAAAAUGGAAGUUAUUAUAUUUCCUAGAAUCAACAAUAGGUGUGAAUAAUUUUUUAAAAUUUAUAACAAACGUCAGUAUGUAAUAUUUUCAUGCUAAUUCGUGAAACAAACGCACUUUAUGAAUACUAAUAAAUAAUGUGAUUUGUGAAAUUAGAUUGGGGGUGCUGUAUGGAAAUCUGUUUUCACGGUUGAUGAGAAAGAGCGUGAGAAGAAUGUUGAAGAAUCGUUGGAGGCUCUGCAGUUUCUUGAGAGUGAGAUCAAGGGCAAGAAGUUCUUUGGAGGAGAGGAGUUUGGGAUGGUAGAUAUUGCUGCUAUCUUCAUAGCAUUUUGGGUCCCUAUGGUUCAAGAAAUUGCAGGGUUGGAGUUAUUCACAAGUGAGAAAUUUCCUAAGCUCUACAAUUGGAGCCAAGAGUUCAUGAGCCACCCUGUUGUGAAAGAAGUUCUUCCUCCUAGAGACCCACUUUUUGCCUUCUUCAAAGCCCGCUACGAAAGCCUGCUCGCUGAUUCAAAAUAGAUUUAUUUAAGGAUACUUGUGUGAACAACUUGUCUCUCGUUGAGUUAUUGAUGUUUGAAUUUCAUGUCAAUUUGAUACUAUAUGUAAUGUAACUUAGGAUCUUAUUCCCAUUUUGGCCAUUUCAUUUAAUAAAGAAAUUCUUUAUAUAUAUAUAUAUAUAUAUAUAUAUAUAUAUAUAUCUAUAUAUAUCUGUGUAUCUGNNNNNNNNNNNNNNNNNNNNNNNNNNNNNNNNNNNNNNNNNNNNNNNNNNNNNNNNNNNNNNNNNNNNNNNNNNNNNNNNNNNNNNNNNNNNNNNNNNNNAUAUAUAUAUAUAUAUAUAUAUAUAUAUAUAUAUAUAUAUAUAUAUAUAUAUAUAUAUAUAUAUAUAUAUAUAUAUAUUUAUUUAUUGUAGUGAGAAGCUUUGUCUUUCGGUGGAUGCUACAUGGAUCACACCUUUAUAGGUAGUUUGGGGUGCAUCAUCUUUAUCCACCAUUAGAUUAAUUUAUACCUUAAAAUCACACCUUACGCUAAUCACACUAGAUUAUAUCUCCCCAUCAUCUUUCUUAUACCUUUACCCUCCAGCAACUCUUCUUCUGACUACCAUUCUCCGUCGUUAAAGACGAUUUUCGAUGGUUACAUUUCAUUUUUUUCCUCACAACCUCCACACCUUUCCUCCCUCUCUCCACUUCAGAUUAACAAGCGACAUAAAAAAUGGUGAAUUUUGAUGAUAACAAAAAUAUGUUUGAAGUCAUAACCAAUAAUGGUUUAUUCUUUGAUCAUGUGGCAUGUGGUUUGAAAAGAAACCCUAAUCAAAAUAGAGAUCGCUACAUGUGCAUGAAACAACAAAUAAUAGACAAAUUUACCAAAAUUUAGUGGAAUGCAUGUUGGGUUUUUUGGGCUCUCUUCCUAUGUGAAGUAAAGGCCCAAAUGAGAAGACUCAUUUUGUCUUAUUUAAGUGGAGAUGGGUCAGAUUAGAAAGAGACACACAGAGAGAGACUCAUCUGAGAGGAAAAAAUAAUUACAAAUCAUUGAGAGAAAAAGAAGGAGAAGGAAAAUCAGUGAUUUUCACAUACCCACUAAAGAGCAUUCUUCAUAUUGCAACAAUGAAUUCGUUCACCAUUGGAUCGGGCUGAUAUUUGAACAACAAGUUCUACGCAUGUGAUACUUCAAAUUUUCCGGUUGGAUCGGGAGAAAGAUAUCUUUAGAGAGAGAUAAGUGUUUUGCAUUAUCUACUUUAUAUUUUGGGGUUUUAUCUUCUUGUCUCUAUUGUACCAAUUAAGGGUUUGUUUUGAUUUGACUGUUUGUAGCACGUUUUAGUGCACUUGUUGGAGGUUCUCUUGUAUAUUCAUUGAUUAUAGUGAAAUUAUUUCUUUGGUCUGGACGACCUGUGAUUUUUACCCUUGUAUUGAGGGGUUUUCCACGUUAAACAAAUUGUCUAUGUUUUUUUCUUAAUUUCUAUUUUGUGCUUUAUAUUUCAUUGGUACUCCUCACAGAUUCUUGCAAGUUUGGAGGAAUUUAUUUCCGUUGCUUAUUACUCUAUUAUAGAGUUUGUUAUUAUGUUUGCUUAAUUUCCCCCAUCAGAUUUCGAUAAAAUUAUUAGAUUUUUUUUCAAUAUAGAACACUCAUCUCGAUAAAAUGGCUUGAAUCCUAUUUACUUACGACAAGAAAUUGAAAAACGGGUUAAUUUAACCCUCCCUUUUGUACAAUGUGUAAUCGAUGACCUAUGUAUAAAUGAAUAAGAAUUCUUUGGAUUUGAAGAAAAAAAACAACUUUGCUGACAUAUAUUUGUUUGGUCAGAAAAGUCCUCCGAAUAUUCUGGUCUUAUAUUGGUAAUUGUUUUCAAUAUUUUAAAAAUAAAAAAUAAAAAUAGCGAAGAGAGGAUAGGCUCAUUACAUCAGAGCUUUUGGUUAAGGGGCUGUUUUUUCUACUUGCUUGAACAAUGGAGGCACAUAUGAAGGGUGAUAGAGACAAGAGCAAAAGCAAGUUCAGGUCUCGGUAAUAGAAUGCUGAGUGUCAUUAUUGUCACAUAACAGAGCAUAUCCAGAGGAAUUGUUUUCUAUGGAAGAAGGAGAAUAAAGAGAAGAAGGGUAAGCAAAUAGAGAAGGAUCAUGAUGAUGAUUGUGUGACUACUACUACCAGUGAUGAUCUUGUUAUUCUCCAUGACCCUGAUUCGCUUAAUCUUGUAUUUGAUGAAAGCAUGUGGAUAAUUGAUAGUGGUGCUACACUGCAUGUUACAACCAGGAAGGAGUUCUUCACAUCUUACACUCCAGGUGAUUUUAGAAUUUUGAAGAUGGGUAAUGAUGGCAUGUCCAAGGUGAUUGGUGUUGCUGAUGUUUGUUUGCAAACCAACAUGGGAAUGCAAUUGCUACUUAGAGGAGUGAAACAUGCUCUAAAUGUUCACUUUAAUUUGAUCUUUGUGUAGGUACUUGAUGAUGUUCUGGGAAGUGGAAACUCACCAAGGGUAACUUGGUUGUGGCCAAGGGGGAGAAAAUUUCAAAGUUGUAUUGGACAAAAGCUUUGGUUGCUAGAGACAGUGUGAAUGCUAUGGAUAUAAAGGCAUCUUUGAGGCACCGAAGGCUUAGUCAUAUCAGUGAGAAGAGAUUGAAUUGUUUAGCCAAGAAGGAUAUGCUUCAGGGAUUGAAGAAUGCAAAUUUGGAGAAAUGUUCUCAUUGCAUGGUUGGUAAGCAAACCAGAGUAUCCUUUAAGAAGCAUCCUCCCUCUAGAAAAUCUGAGUUUUUUGAAUUGGUGCAUUAUUCAGAUGUUUCUGACCCUUUGAAGGUGAAAUCCUUUAGUGGUGCACCUUAUUUAGUUACCUUCAUUGGUAACUGUUCCAAGAAACUUUGGGUCUAUGUUUUGAAGACAAAAGACCAAGUUCUUGAGAAGUUCAAGGAGUUUCAUGUCUUAGUUGAGAGGAAGUUAAGUAAGAAUCUGAAACGCAUUUAUACUGACAAUGGUGGUGAGUAUUGUGGACCAUUUGAUGUCUACUACAAGCAGCAUGGUAUUGCUCAUGAGAAAACUCCUCCUAAAACUCCUCAACUGAAUGGUUUGGCGGAGAGGAUGAACAAGACAUUGAUCGAGGGAGUGAGAUGUAUGCUCUUCAAAGCAAAGUUACCCAAGCACUUCUAGGGUGAGGCACUGUACACGGCGGUGCAUGUUAUCAAUCUUAGUCCUGUUGUUGUUUUGAAUAGUGAGGUGCUGAGCAAAAUUUGGUUUGGCAAGAAUGUGAAGUAUGAUCAUUUAAGAGUUUUUGGCUGCAAGGCUUUUGUGCAUGUUCCAAAGGAUGAAAGAUCGAAGUUGGAUGUAAAGUCAAGGCAGUGUAUCUUCAUUAGUUAUGGUUAGAAUGAAUUUGGUUACGAGUUUUAUGAUCCUUUUGAGAACAAGCUUUUUAGAAGUCGUGAUGUGAAAUUCAUGGAAGACCAAACCAUUGAAGACAUUGAUAAGGUGGAGAAGUUUACACCCAAGGAAGACAACGGUGUGGCUGAUUUUCAACCAGUUCAACCGUCUAUUCAGAAUCUGAAUACUGAUGUUCAGAAUGAUGUUGGUGUCCAACAACUUAGAGAUGAAGUAGAUGUUCCUACUGAUGAUGAUGAUGAGGAACAUGACAUGUCACAAGAUGAAAAUCUUGGUGAUGCUAUCGAACCACCUCAAGUUCAACUCAGGAGGUCCAACAGGGAGAGGCAACCUUCUAAGAGGUAUUCUCCUAAUGAGUAUGUGAUCCUAACAGAUGAUGGAGAACUUGAGUGCUUUAGAGAGGCUAUGGAAAGUGAAGAAAAGAGAAAGUGGUUGGAUGCAAUGAAGGAUGAGAUGAAAUCCAUACAUGAUAAUCACAUUUUUUAUUUAGUGAAGUUACCUAAGGGUAAAAGGGCCUUGGAUAACAGGUGGAUCUAUAGGGUAAAGCAUGAGAGUAACUCUACAUCUCCAAGGUACAAAGCCAGAUUAAUGGUGAAGGUCUAUAGUCAAAGAAAGGGUGUUGAAUUUAAUGAGAUUUUUUCUCCCGUAGUGAAAAUGUCAUCCAUUAGAACCGUAUUAAGUUUGGCGUCUACUCUUGAUUUGGAGGUAGAACAAAUGGAUGUAAAAACUGUUUUCCUUCAUGGUGAUUUGGAGGAAGAGAACUACAUGAAGCAACCUGUAUGUUUUCAUGUUGAAGGGAAAGAAGACUAUGUGUGUAGGCUGAGAAAGAGCCUAUAUGGUUUGAAGCUGGCUCCGAGGCAGUGGUACAAGAAGUUUGAGUUUGUUAUUUGUGAGUAAGGCUACAGGAAUACAACUUCUGACCAUUGUGUCUUUGUUAGAAAGUUUUCUGAUGAUGACUUCAUUAUCCUGUUAGUGUAUGUUGAUGACAUGCUUAUUGUUGGGAAAAAUGUUUCCAGGAUUGGCAGGUUGAAGAAGCAAUUGGGUGAGUCAUUUGCCAUGAAAGACAUAGGAGCUGCUAAAUAGAUUCUUAGUAUAAGAAUCAUGUGUGACAGAAAAGAGAAGAAGUUGUGGCCGUCACAAGAACACUACAUCAAAAGAGUGUUGUAGAGAUUCCAGAUGGAAAAGGAUAAGGCGGUGAGCACUCCUGUUGCUACUCAUUUUAAGCUGAGUUCUAAACAGAGUCCAUCAAAUGAAGUUGAGAAAUUAGAUAUGCAACAGGUUCCUUAUACAUCUGUGGUGGGAAGUUUGAUGUAUGCAAUGAUAUGCACAAGACCAGAUAUAACACAUGUUGUUGGUACAAUUAGUAGAUUUUUGUCAAACCCAGGUAGAGAGCAUUGGAAUGCUGAGAAAUGGAUUUUGAGGUAUCUUCAUGGUGUUGUUGAUAUGAGGCUUUGUUUUGGUGGUGAUAAGCCUACUUUGGUGGGAUACUCAGACUCAGAUAUGGUUGGAGACAUUGAUUCCAGGAGGUUCACUUCGGGCUAUUUGAUUAAAUUUGCAGGGGGAGCUAUUACUUGGCACUCCAAGCUAUAGAAAUGUGUAGCUUUGUCUACUACAGAGGCAGAAUUCAUUGUCAUUACCAAAGCAUGCAAGGAGUUGCUAUGGGUGAAGAAAUUCUUGCAGGAGCUUGGUUUUGUUCAGGAUAAAUAUCUACUAUUUGUGGAUAGUCAGAGUGUUAUUCAUCUUGGUAAGAACUCAACCUUUCAUUCAAGGUCUAAGCAUAUUGAUGUGAGGUAUCAUUGGAUACGAGAUACUUUGGAUGCUAAGCUAUUGGAGUUGGCCAAAAUCCAUAUUGAUGAUAAUGGUGCUGAUAUGAUGACUAAGGCAUUACUAAGAGGGAAGUUUGAAGUUUGUUGUGAGAUCGCCGGUUUGGCGGUCACCUCCCCAUAGUUGUAAGGGAGAGAUUUGUUGGGUUUUUUGGGCUACCUUCUUAUGUGGAGUAAAAACCCAAAUGAAAAGAUCCAUUUUGUCUCACUUAUUUAAGUGGAGAGAGGUCAGAUUAGAAAGAAACACACACAGAGAGAUAUAGUGAGAGAGACUCAUUUGAGAAGGGAAAAGAGUUACAAAUCAUUGAGAGAGAAAGAAUGAGAGGGAAAAUUAUUGUAAUUUUUGCAUACCCACUAGAGAGCGUUUUUUAGAUUGCAACUGCGAAUUCGUUCACCGUUGGACCCAGUUGAUUUUUGGAAAACAAGUUCUACACGCGUGAUUCUGCAAAUUGUUUGGUUGGAUCGGAAAAAAGAUAUCUUUAGAGAGAGAUAAGUGUUUCGCAUUAUCUACUCUAUAUUUUGGAGUUUUAUCUUUUUGUCUCUGUUGUAUCAAUUGGAGGGUUUAAUUUGAUUUGACUGUUCGUAGCAUGUUUUAAUGCACUUGUUGGAGGUUCUCUUGUAUAUUCAUUGAUUAUAGUAAAGUUAUUUCUUUGAUCUAGAUGACCCGUAAUUUUUAUUCUUACAUUGAGAAGUUUUUCACGCUAAACAAAUUAUGUCUCUGUUUUUUUUCCUUAAUUUCUAUCUUACGCUCUAUAUUUCAUUGGUGUUCCUUAUAGAUUUUUACAAAUUUUGAGAAAUUUAUUUUGACUGCUUAUUACUUAUUAUGUUUGUCUAUUUUCUCCCAUCAAUGUCAUUUAACUUUUGAAUAAUCGGGGAGUCCAAAUUUUUAAUUGUAAUUAAAAGACUAAUUAAGUCAUUAUAGUUUAUUGAGAUAAAAAGGAGUCAUUUUUUUUAUGAUGUGACUCCCGACAUAGCGUUUUAGCUCCUCAUUUCCGACAAACAACAAGUUGAGAUUGUUGACAACUGAAAAAUUUUCAAAAACUCCACGAAAUUGAAGUCAGGAUUCACUAACCAACCAAGCUACAACAUAAUAAAUCAAUUCAAUCUGAAACGAAGAGUAUUAGUAAGUAAUAUCACGUUCUCUGAUACAUUUUAAGACGAGGAAGGUUUCUUCAAUAUUUUUGAAAUCCUCCUUGAAUUUACUAAUUGCGGAACAUAUUCAAUUAGAAAAAUAUUUAUUAGUAAAAUCAUUAAUAUCAUUGAUUGUUUUUUAAAAUUCCUUUAUUGCAUGUUAUUAUAAUUUAUAGAAUAAAUUAUAACACUCCUUAUUCCUUAAGCCUUUAUGAAAUUACAGUUAACUUUCCAUUUUUUUUACACUAAUUCCUUUUUAAGUUUAAAAAUGUUAUAUUAAUACUUUCUUAUAUGUUUAAAAAUAUUAUACUAUGUUAACAUUCCUUUAAGUUUCAAAAUAUUACACUAAUUUUUUUUUAAAAUACUUAAAAUGUUAUACUAACAUUCCUUUAAAUCUUACGGUAACAUUCACUAGAAACAAGGAUGGUCAAAGAUUCAAAGUAAUGAAUUUUUUUUAAAAAAACAGAAAAUAUUUAUAUAAUUACACAAAAUCUUAAAAAAUGUUGUUAUUAUUUACUCUAAUUUAUAAUUUGAAUUUAGGAUCGAGUAUAUUUAAGGAAAUUUCUCUACACGGUUUACGCAAUCUCUUACAUCAUUUAUUUUUCCACAUUUGUUUACUCUGAGGAAUCUUCUUGAUAGGGGAAAGUUUUUUCAUAUUUUUUCUAGAUCCUUCUCAUGUGCAAUGUCUCCGCAUUCAUACGCAGCAAUCAAAAUGGAAUUAAUACACGGUAGCACUUUCCCAUUUUUUUGUUAUCGUCCCCACUAUUGACUAUACCCAUGAUAUGUAUAUAGGUAUAUCUUUUCUAAUUGAUUACGUAUCUGCUGAAUACUAGCUAGUCCUGAUUCCUAGCUCUAUAAAAGGAGAAUACCAUAGGAAUUCAUCACAGACAAACAAACAAUUUACCAGCUAUACUUGUUCCUUUUGAAGGUUAGAAGUGCUACAAUACAAACAAUGGCAGCUACUCAGGAAGAUGUGAAGCUUUUGGGUAUUGUGGGAAGCCCAUUUGUGUGCAGGGUCCAGAUUGCCCUUAAGUUGAAGGGAGUUGAAUACAAAUUUUUGGAAGAAAAUUUGGGCAACAAGAGUGAUUUGCUUCUCAAAUACAACCCUGUUCACAAGAAGGUUCCAGUGUUUGUUCACAAUGAGCAGCCCAUAGCAGAGUCUCUUGUGAUUGUUGAAUACAUUGAUGAGACAUGGAAGAACAACCCCAUCUUACCUUCUGAUCCUUACCAAAGAGCCUUGGCUCGUUUCUGGUCCAAAUUCAUUGAUGAUAAGGUAACUCAACAUUUCAAAAAUCUUCUUAGUUUUCAUGAUUUGUGCUGAUUUGUCAGCAAAACAUCACGAUGAAAUCUAUAUAUGUGAAAUCUUUCUGGUGUGGAAUAUAUAUGUGAAAUCUUUGAAUAUGUUAGAGAACUCAAAAGUCAACAGCCAACCAUGAUUUUUUUUUAAUGUAUCAACUUUUUGUAAAACAAUAUUAGUGAUUUGAAACUUUAUGGAAUCAUAUACUAUGAUUUUGGGAGAAAUUUUAUUUUAUUUUACUAUUUUUAUCUGGGGUGGGGGGAUUCUGUCACGUAUUUGUUUCUAUAUAACUCGAUCUAAAUUCUG
Molecule: long non-coding RNA, 9012 nt
Filed under: Glycine max (soybean)
Lineage: Eukaryota; Viridiplantae; Streptophyta; Magnoliopsida; Fabales; Fabaceae
Description: long non-coding RNA (GMAX_LNC001493)
Source: RNAcentral